Molecule: ribosomal RNA, 497 nt
Filed under: uncultured bacterium
Lineage: Bacteria
Description: partial 16S ribosomal RNA
Rfam family: Bacterial small subunit ribosomal RNA
Source: RNAcentral
GAUGAACGCUGGCGGCGUGCCUAAUACAUGCAAGUCGAGCGAACGGACGAGAAGCUUGCUUCUCUGAUGUUAGCGGCGGACGGGUGAGUAACACGUGGAUAACCUACCUAUAAGACUGGGAUAACUUCGGGAAACCGUAGCUAAUACCGGAUAAUGUUUUGAACCGCAUGGUUCAAAAGUGAAAGACGGUCUUGCUGUCACUUAUAGAUGGAUCCGCGCUGCAUUAGCUAGUUGGUAAGGUAACGGCUUACCAAGGCAACGAUGCAUAGCCGACCUGAGAGGGUGAUCGGCCACACUGGAACUGAGACACGGUCCAGACUCCUACGGGAGGCAGCAGUAGGGAAUCUUCCGCAAAGGGCGAAAGCCUGACGGAGCAACGCCGCGUGAGUGAUGAAGGUCUUCGGAUCGUAAAACUCUGUUAUUAGGGAAGAACAUAUGUGUAAGUAACUGUGCACAUCUUGACGGUACCUAAUCAGAAAGCCACGGCUAACUACGUG